UUGAAGAAAUAAAAAUAUCUGAAAAAUAUUUAUGUAAAUUCUUUAAGUAACAAGUCUUCUAAUAUUACUUGCUUCAAAUGUGGUAGAGUAGGACAUAAGUCAUACACUUGCUUCUCUAACAAGUCUGCAAACUCAAAUAUAAAGAAAAUAUGAGUUUCAAAAGGAACCAUUAUGACUAACCAAAAAGGACCCAAGAAAGCUUGGGUACCUAAAACAAAAACUUGACUUUUGCUUGCAGGUGUGUCUAGCAUCCCAAGGAGG
Molecule: long non-coding RNA, 261 nt
Filed under: Elaeis guineensis (African oil palm)
Lineage: Eukaryota; Viridiplantae; Streptophyta; Magnoliopsida; Arecales; Arecaceae
Description: long non-coding RNA (EGUI_LNC003579)
Source: RNAcentral